RNAcentral lists this ribosomal RNA (1410 nucleotides) under uncultured bacterium. RNAcentral's name for it is "bacterial SSU rRNA". It matches the Rfam family "Bacterial small subunit ribosomal RNA". The record is from RNAcentral.
GAUGAACGCUGGCGGUAUGCUUAACACAUGCAAGUCGAACGGGAUGCUUGGGCAUCUAGUGGCGGACGGGUGAGUAACGCGUGAGAAUCUGGCUCCAGGUCGGGGAUAACAGUUGGAAACGACUGCUAAUACCGGAUGUGCCGAAAGGUGAAAGAUUUAUUGCCUGGAGAUGAGCUCGCGUCUGAUUAGCUAGUUGGUGGUGUAAGGGACCACCAAGGCGUCGAUCAGUAGCUGGUCUGAGAGGAUGAUCAGCCACACUGGGACUGAGACACGGCCCAGACUCCUACGGGAGGCAGCAGUGGGGAAUUUUCCGCAAUGGGCGAAAGCCUGACGGAGCAAUACCGCGUGAGGGAGGAAGGCUCUUGGGCCGUAAACCUCUUUUCUCAAGGAAGAAGAAAGUGACGGUACUUGAGGAAUAAGCAUCGGCUAACUCCGUGCCAGCAGCCGCGGUAAUACGGAGGAUGCAAGCGUUAUCCGAAAUGAUUGGGCGUAAAGGGUCUGCAGGUGGAACUGAAAGUCUGCUGUUAAAGAGUUUGGCUUAACCAAAUAAAAGCGGUGGAAACUACAGAACUAGAGUGCGGUAGGGGCAAAAGGAAUUCCUGGUGUAGCGGUGAAAUGCGUAGAUAUCAGGAAGAACACCGGUGGCGAAAGCGUUUUGCUAGACCGUAACUGACACUGAGGGACGAAAGCUAGGGGAGCGAAUGGGAUUAGAUACCCCAGUAGUCCUAGCCGUAAACGAUGGAUACUAGGCGUGGCUUGUAUCGACCCGAGCCGUGCCGGAGCUAACGCGUUAAGUAUCCCGCCUGGGGAGUACGCACGCAAGUGUGAAACUCAAAGGAAUUGACGGGGGCCCGCACAAGCGGUGGAGUAUGUGGUUUAAUUCGAUGCAACGCGAAGAACCUUACCAAGACUUGACAUCCUGCGAAUCCCGGUGAAAGCUGGGAGUGCCUUAGGGAGCGCAGAGACAGGUGGUGCAUGGCUGUCGUCAGCUCGUGUCGUGAGAUGUUGGGUUAAGUCCCGCAACGAGCGCAACCCUCGUUUUUAGUUGCCAGCAUUAAGUUGGGCACUCUAGAGAGACUGCCGGUGACAAACCGGAGGAAGGUGAGGAUGACGUCAAGUCAGCAUGCCCCUUACGUCUUGGGCUACACACGUACUACAAUGCUACGGACAGAGGGCAGCGAGCCAGGGAUGGCAAGCGAAUCCAGAAACCGUAGCUCAGUUCAGAUCGAAGGCUGCAACUCGCCUUCGUGAAGGAGGAAUCGCUAGUAAUUGCAGGUCAGCAUACUGCAGUGAAUUCGUUCCCGGGCCUUGUACACACCGCCCGUCACACCAUGGAAGUUGGUCACGCCCGAAGUCAUUACCCCAACCGAAAGGAGGGGGAUGCCUAAGGUAGGACUGGUGACUGGGGUG